GGUUUUGUACUUUAUUUAGAAGAUUUGGUUUGCAACUAAAAAGAAGAUUUUAUAUCUCAAAACCA
RNAcentral lists this transfer RNA (65 nucleotides) under Chromodoris quadricolor. RNAcentral describes it as "tRNA-Ala". Lineage: Eukaryota; Metazoa; Mollusca; Gastropoda; Nudibranchia; Chromodorididae. RNAcentral also lists the same sequence under 1 other name. The record is from RNAcentral.